GAACACCUUCUUGCCCUUUAGAUCGGCAGGAGAGAGGUCUCCAACGCUCCUCUUGGCCAUAGACACAACGCCUGUGAUUGGUCUGGCGGAGGUUUUGAGGGAUUGGAGCUUGGAGGCUACAUGUGCAGAGAAAAGGGGAUCAGCGGCGGCGAAUCCAAGGCCACGAAGUGGGGAACGCAGAAAGCGAGAAGGCAGGCGAACAGUGGGGCUGAUACGGGAGGUAGUGGAAGACGAAGAAGUUGUGGGGAGGAGUGAGAGAGUGGUGGGUGAUGCUGCAGAAGCC
RNAcentral lists this long non-coding RNA (283 nucleotides) under Lactuca sativa (garden lettuce). RNAcentral's name for it is "long non-coding RNA (LSAT_LNC007388)". The record is from RNAcentral. Lineage: Eukaryota; Viridiplantae; Streptophyta; Magnoliopsida; Asterales; Asteraceae.